Hydractinia symbiolongicarpus is the source of this 7569-nucleotide RNA transcript. RefSeq lists it as uncharacterized. Lineage: Eukaryota; Metazoa; Cnidaria; Hydrozoa; Anthoathecata; Hydractiniidae. The record is from RefSeq and is a predicted model, not a curated record. The transcript has 7 exons.
GCAAAUAAAUUAUUAGUUUAUAUAUAUUCCUUAUAAGUAUUUACUUAACAAUGGAUUUGUAAUUAUUUUUUUGCACUGGUUUUUGGAUAGUGAUGACAGCUUUUUGUCACUGUGUUGGUUAUUAAUUGUAUUCCAGCAACGGAUUGAUUGAUAUCUUAUACUAUAAAUUCCAUACCGAGUGGUACUAACAUUUGGAAGUAUUAGGUUAUUGUUUGAUGCAUUUCUAGUAUUAUGGGUAUGAGUAUUUGCAACCAGAGUGAAAAUGCCUUGCAGAGGUUUAGGCAAAUUUUUAUGAUAAUGAUCAUACGCAAAUAAAAAGUCUUUAAGCUUAAUUGUGUCAGGAAAGUAAGUAUUUUGGUUUUAUUAAAUAAUAGAGAAGUAGGGCUGUUUGCAGGUUUGAAGUUCAUAAUUUUAUUUGCUUUAUUUUGAAGGGAGAUAAUUCUAUUCAUGUAGGUGCUUUUGUUAUGUCCCCACAUUUGACAUCCAUAAGUUAGAUGUGAUGAGAUGAUAGCAUGAUAUAUAUUAGUUAAAAUAUUAUAGGAAACAUAGUGUCUUAUUUUAGAUAAUAUCCCAAUGGAUCUGGAUAGUUUUACUUUAAGAUUAUCUAUGUGUAUAUGCCAUUUUAAAUGUUUGUCCUGAGUGAUCCCUAAAUAUUUAUUAGAUUCAGAAGGUAAAAUUUUAUGGCCGUUGAUUUUUAUUUUGAUAUCAUAGUCAAUAGAUUAGUUUGGGUGGGUAAAAAGGAUGAUUUCUGUUUUACUAGCAUUUAGGGAUAUUUUGUUGGCCUAGAGCCAGUUGCAAAGGAAUCUUAGAUCAAGGUUUAAUUGCUUCCUUAUUGAUUUUAAAUUAUCACUAAUUGUCAGUAGGACUGUUGAGUAUUUAAUUGCAUUGUUUAGAUCAUUAAUAUAAAUUAGAAAUAGUAAAGGUCCAAGUACAGACCCUUGGGGUACUCCUAUUGUUAUAUUUUGGACAUUUGAAUCAAAACCAUUUAUUGAAACAUAUUGUUUUCUGUUACUAAGGUGUGAUCUGAACCAGGAGUUAGAUAGUCCUCUAAUUCCAUAAUUUUCAAGUUUUUUUAAAAGGAUUGUAUGAUCAACAGUGACAAAUGCCUUUUGCAGGUCAAUGAAUGUGCCACAUGCAAAGUUGUUGAAAUCUAAAGUUUCUCUUAUUUUCUCUGUAAUACUGAAGAGUGCAUUAUUAGUGGAAUGAUUUUGUCGAAAGCCAAAUUGUAGAACAUAAAUACAAUUGUGAUAGUCUAAAAAAUUGUAUAAUCUGGAGUGCAUGAGUUUUUCAAAAAUUUUAUUAAUAUUAGAGAGGAGUGAUAUUGGGCGGUAAUUGUUACAUUCUAGACUAGAUCCUUUAUUUUUAUAUAUAGGUAUAAUUUUUGCAAUUUUUAAGUUAUCUGGAUAGAUGCCAGUCGAAAAUGAUAGAUUUAUUAUCUCGCAUAGGGGUGUUGAUACAUUGAAUUUAAUAAGUUUAAAAAUAUUGCUGGGUAUACUAAAAGGUCCGUUUGUUUUAUUUUCAUUUAAAGAAGAUAUCAGUGGUAUUAUUUCAUUUUCAGUAGUAGGAUUGAUAAAAAAAGAAUUGUGAUUUGCGUCAUUAAGGUAAUUAUGGAAUGGUUUAUUAGAAGGUGAAAUUUUAUUUUGAAGUUUUACUCCUACUGUGGAAAAAUAGUUAUUAAAGCAGUUAGCAAUAUCAACAGGAUUAUUGUUAAUUUUAUUGUUAAUUUUUAGGCUAGUAGGAACAGUGGAUUUCAUUUUGGAUAUGCUAAUAAUGGUUUUGAUUCCGUCCCAAGUUUUUCUAAUAUUAUUCGAGUUUUCAAUAAAAUAUUUUUGAUGUUGUUUUUUACUUUUUCUGAUCAAAUCGACAAUUAAAUUUCUGUAUUGUUUAUAAUUAUUGUGUAACAUAUUUUUAUAAUUAUUCUUUCUGUAAUUUAUGAAUUUUUUCAGUAAUUCAUCUCUUAUAGUGAUAGAUUUACAUAUUCCUUUUGUAAUCCAUGGUUUAGAUUGUUGCUUGUAUUGUUUUUUUGACCUUGGUUAAAGUUCUGUUCUUCUUUUCAAUGUGUUGUGUCCUUUUUAUUUUUUUAUAUUUUUUUUAAUUAAUUCCUUGUAAAAAGGGAGAAUUGUGCUUUUACAGGCAUUUUCUCUAGGGGAGUACAACCUCUACCUUAUUUCCAAAGACCUAACAGGUUGAGUUCAUCAUUGCGGUGGCUUGCCACCUCUUUGUAAAUUAUUUUCUCUCAGAGAAUAGUUAUAGGUCCAAGUUGGGCAGUACUCAUGCUUGUAAUAAGCAAGAAAGUGUAUUCAGCACCUUCUUCUGGGAGCCUAAUCCCAAUUUUAUUUACAUCCACCGUAGACAAAAUACUUCAGUGCUGUAUUGUAAACCUUUUUUAUUUCACGCAUACAUAUUGUUACUGUUAUUUGCCCAGGAUUACCUAAUGAGGUUCUAAUGAUACUGUUAUCAAUGAGGGUCCUAUGAAAAGUGUCUAGUACAUUUAAAGCAUUGUAUUCUGGGUAGCCGCCGCUGGUUUCCAAGUCUGCCUUUCUAAGGGGCAGUUUUUUGGUCAGUCCAGCUUUCUUGUUUCCAGGUGUACUGCUUUUCAGUCUUAGUCCCAACGUUUCUAAGAGCUGGGUUUCAAGUCUACCUUUCUAAGCCCUGGACUCUGAGUCAGUAGGUAUAAGCAACAACAAUACGAUUUGUAGUUGUGAACUCUUCUUUUUCCAACGUUUAAUAAAGUUAUUGGUUUUGGCGGAUGGUGUCAAUGAAUGUGGCUGGUGUCUUACAGGAGGCAGGGGAUGCUUACUCAAGGGACCGUGCCAGAUCCCAAGCAUGAGUAAAUUUCACCAAUCCUCAUGUUUCCACAUUCAUAGGUGUUUAUUUCAGUACAGCCGAAAUCAAUUAGCUUUUCGGUCAUCCCUGUAAAGGAGAGAAAACAGAAGUUUUCCAGUUGCUUCUUAAAAGGCUAGUUAUAUCUGCAUUGCGAUGUAAUUACUCCUAUUCUCUCACCCAUUAGAGCUACGUAAGGCAUGCAUGUACAACAGUUGCUCAAGAUACAAUGCUAUUCUCCUGCCAAAACGAUAAAUCUACAUUUUUAUAGCUUCUGCCAUAGCUCGGACCGUGUUUAAACCGAAGACCUUCCGCAUCGCUCUGUCACAAAGCCCACAGUUGUUAGAUACUUGGGUCAGUUCUAUGAAAUAAAUGCCAGUAAUGAAAGGCAGAGCGCAGCUCUUGCAUUUUCUUUAUCACAUGUUCCAGAACUUUGGUUAAAUCUUCGUAAAGUGGGACUGUUUUGUGUUUUCUCAGAUUUAUCUGUCUGUUGUGCUUAGCCUGUAAGUAGCAUCUGUAAAAAAAAUAUUGCUUCCACUUCUUCCUAAAAACCUGCCGACUUAUUCUGCUUCCUCAUCUUUACCUUUAUUACACAAGUAAAACUGCAAUAAUUGUGCUGCUCGUUUGAUCAGGUAAUAAAGAUUUUUUCUUUGGUAUAUUUCCCAAAGUUUGAUUCGGAUCAAGAGUUAUUUUUUGUGCACAAUGAUCGAACUUUAUCGCAUAUUUUAACGAGUUGAAAUGCCACAAAACAAAUUAAAAUACCUCCUUUUUCUCCUUACAAGUCAUACAUUUUAGCCAUAUGUUAUACUGUUUACACUUCCGUACAAAAACAAGACAACAUAUGUACUUUUUGAUGGGGAUUUCAUCAUUAAUAAGGAAAUCAUAAAAGUGUAUUAACAAGGACAAAUGCUUCUUCACUAACAGUGGGGCAUACGAUUGUUUUUCGCAGUACUUGGCAAAAAAUCAUUUCUAAUAAAGUUUUGGUCCAGGAGGGCUGCCAAGUCAUCCAUUUUCAAAGCUUUCAUGAUAUUUUCAAUGUUUGAAACUUCACUAGAUGCGGUACUGGCAUCUAAUCUCCCUCCAUUAACUGACGUCAACUGACAGGUAUCGAAAAAUGCGUUUCUUGAAUACACUUUUUCGUGGCCAUACACGUAAGCUGUUUUAUGUGUUUUUUAUUAUAAUUCGGUACAUAUCCUUUUCUAGAACCGCUUCCCUAAAUUCUUUACAAUCAUGCCUUCAUUGGACUUUGCGCACAUUAAAAACUUGUUUAGUUGACCCGUUUACUGAUUUGACAUAUAGGUAAUUGAAGUUGUGCCGCAUUCCAGCCUUUAAACUUUUAUAUUCUAUCAUUGUUACGAUAUAAAUGACAUUGCACAGAUCUUCAAAAUUGUCCCUAACAAACGAACUAAUGUCAGAAAAAACCUUCCAAAGUCUUAAGCGUUUCAUACAAACGUCCUAAUGUCACCGAGAGUUUUGAAUUAGAAGAACAAAAUAAUGAAACUGCUGGAGACUCUAAUAAGCCAGCAUGUGAGCCAGCUGGAGAAAACUCGUUUUACGAGCAAGCUAUGAGAGAGGAGGAGGAUGUAACUCCAAGGCGAAAGGUAAGGACUUCCAAAAAGAAGUCCAAAAAGGGAGGAAAAGAAAAAGAUCUCCAUCCUCCUCCUCGUCUUCUUCUUCAGAUAGCUCUUCAGAUGAAUCAGGAGAGGAAAACAAAAUGGUAAGUGGAAACUCCCAACUGGGAUGGCAGAUUAUGCCAACCAGCAUUUUCAGAAUUAUAUAUAGUUGUCUAUGCUAAUUUGAUAAACAUUCACAGAUGUACCUAGUAUCACUUAUCUGCAUUAUAUUCUGCAUAAAUAAUUAAGCAAUACUAUUCAGAAUCCUGAAAGGAGCAGAUUUAACUAAUAUUAUUUUUCAUUACUUUGCAGGUUACGCAUACAAAUUGGACAAUGUGUCCAAUGGCUCCCGCACUGUGCUAUUUUGUCGUUACGAAUAAAUGUCUGGUACCAAGCAAAACAACUUCCGACAUGGAAAUAAAUGUAUGUACCAAUAAUUUUAUGUAUAUUUUUCUUAACUUAUUUCUUAAUUUAUUUAUUAUUUGGUCUAACCUGGUAAGCAUUCAAGCAGUAUUAUAAGAUGCCAGUUUUUAAAACAGUGAGACUGUUUACUAUUUACUCUUCUGGCAUCCUUGUUCUGACAAAUGCUACAAUUGAGCUGUUAGAAAAUAAUUUUUAGGGCAAACUUAUAUUUCUUUAUAUAUGAUGGAGUUUUUCCACAACCAAAGUUGACAAAAGUGAUUCAUAACUUUUGCUGCACAAAGCAAGACUACAUAAACUUCUAACAUGUGCUUUAACAUCGUUGUAAAAUCGACUUAGAACAGAUAGUCGUUCACGACAUUCGACAUUCCUGUUAAAUUUCUGUACUUUCAAUUAGUUAUUGUUUUUAUGGCUUUUCUUUUGCAAUAUUUAGGAAUGAGUGUUAAGCCGUUGUUACUCCUAAUUUCAAAAACUAUCUCUUUAUCAUAAGUCUUUGCGACCUCAUUUUUAUCCUCUAUUUCUUCAUUAUUAGUAUUAAAUAAUUUUUUUGAAUUUUUAUAUGUUUUUUCAACUAUGUUUAGUGAAAUCUGAACCUAGUUAGUAAAAUCAAUCAAAUCCUUCAAUUCAUUUAAAUCCUUUUAAUUUGGCUUCCUGAAUCAUAGAAAACAUGCAUCUGUACAGUAUGAUGUUUGACUCAACUAAAUAAAAAUAUAUACAAAACCAUAACUUAGUACACUGUUCCUAAAUAAUAUCAAACAUAUAAGAAGGAAUUUUUGUUUGCGUAAAGAGUGCUAAUAAACCUAUUUAAUUUGUCAGCCAUAAUGAGCAAUAAAGAUUGUCUAUUCUGGUACAGGCCAUGGAUUUGUUUUGUUUUUUUUACAGUAAAAUUAGAUGAAGGCCUAUUUCGCAACUGGAGAGCACCUUUUUUAUAUCGCCAGUUGAUCCUCAUUCUUCCUGACUGUGUGUGCACUUACUUCCAGGCCCCGCAGGCACAGUUUUAAAGUGGAGAUUAAUUUUUGAGAGACUUUUGCCAGUGUUCAUCUUGUAUUCCACCCAUUUGGCAUAACUCAGUCCGAGGGAGAAAAACGUAUGACAACAUACAGUGAAGCAGCAGGAUCGUAUCUCUUCUUUUUCAAAGAUAUUUGGUAAAUAUAGAUCAAUGUUUGUCAUGGCACAUUCGUGUGACCAUUUGCCUUAAUCAAAAUGAUAAUAUUUAAAAUGGAUUUUUAUUUUUAAUGCAUUUAGCAUUGAUGCCACUUUUGACAAUCGCCUUAGCAAAUAUGUCAAUGAUUCUCCAUAUGGAAACUGUGUUAUGCGUUCAGUUCAAAUUGAAGGGCAAUUACACCUAUGCUUGUUUGCAUUGACCAACCUCUCAUCAGGAUCGUAAAAGAAAAUUUGCCAUGAAUUUGAGCAUGAUUCAGUCAAUAAGUUACAGCAAAUGUAAUAAAGACGAGUCCAUUUCUAAUAAAGAUACUAUCCAAAAAGAUCAAAUUGAUUUUCAAUUAAAAGAAAGAAUGACGUGUCGUGAUGGUGUAGUGCACGUCGAUAUUGAGCCUGGUGUUGAUACUUCUGAAGAAAAAGACUGGUUGCAGAAAAAUCCCAAGACAUUCAGAAUUAUUUAGUUGAGAUUUUGAUACUCAGUGACCUGCAGCUAGGUUGAGUAUAAACAAAGCAAGACUUUAAAUAAUUCAAUGUCCCACACCAGGUCAAAUAUGUUUUGCAUCGUCUUAGAGUAUUCAAAUUUUUAAUUAAAAUUAGUUCUUAUUUUUUGACAGAAACUUUACUUUCUUCUAUAAAAUUAUUUGUAAAAAGAAAAGCAUUCAAAGUAUUAUUAUUUGCCUUUGUCUUCAUAUUGUUUUUUCAAACGUAAAAAACAGCUUCUAAAUUCAAUAGUUAAGUAUAAUAUAUUCAAGGGGGGUUGUUGCAUUUUGUUUCGUAUACUGUCUGGCUUAUAUUAUUAAUAAUAACAACAAAACAAUAAAAUUUGCAUGCAGCGUACAAGACCUACUACCAAAUAACUAUGGGAAUUUAAUAUUUAAAUACCGCAGAUUAUUUGAUAAGCAUUUUACGUUACAGAUGUAUCAUAAUCAUAGUAAUAUCUCUCUACACCAUUAUUAGAAUUACACUGAGUUGGAGAUGAAAGAUGAAAAGUUGUCUUGGGUGUCUUUCCAGUGAGUUUUUUUUUUUGGUUAUUAAGCUUGUACUGUCAUCUAAUUGUUCUCUUAAUUUUAAUUUCAUUAUUUUUGUUUUGUUUCAGAAAUUUAAAAGAUGUUCCUGAAGAUGUAGUAGUGAAAAUGAUACGCCAUGUAGGAAAAAAAAUUUUGGAUGGAAAGGUUUACUGUGAGAGACAUGAAGCAUAUAAUUUAAAGGGAAGAAAAAGAGGUGCACAUUACUCCAUGUUUAUAUUUUAUUGAAUAAGUAUAGAUGGAUAUUCAUAAUUUUUUUUCAGCUUGCCUUGCAAUGGAGGUAUCCUUUGGUAAUUUCACAGAUUACUUAUUACACAAAUUUACACAGAUUACACAAAUUACUUUUGCACAGUGCAUUCCAAAGUAAGUGCCUUUUUCAGCAAAUUACACUCCUCAUUGGAUUUUUAUUCCAAUAAUUACUUCACAGGACACGUGACUUUUUAUUUAGUAUUUUGAUUAUGUGGCUAAAGUGCUCUUUCCAGAAACAAAGACAUUGCUUCAGAGUCUCUUUAGCACCAAUGCUGAUA